Molecule: RNA transcript, 2971 nt
Organism: Durio zibethinus
Lineage: Eukaryota; Viridiplantae; Streptophyta; Magnoliopsida; Malvales; Malvaceae
Gene name: WRKY transcription factor SUSIBA2-like
Source: RefSeq, a predicted model, not a curated record
CGCCAACCGGACCAAAAAACUUUAAAAACGCUUUCUCCUUCCUUUCUUCUAAAAUAUUCUGUUUCAAAACUUGAAAAGCUUCUGAAAAUCAUUCUCUCAAAAUUUCAGCUCCAACCAAUCACUGGAGCUAAACCCACACCGAAUCAAAAAACAAACCUAAUUCCUAAAUCACAGCUGCGUGACUUGAACACUCUCUUUCCCUUUUCCUUUUCCAUGGACCACAAUGUAACCGUUUUCACCAACCGCCAAGAAUCCGUUACCGCUAAUGACGAUGAUGAUGCAUCCAAAACCAUUGGUCACGGCGGCGGAGGCGGCGGUUUUGGUAGGAUAGGCGGCAGCAUUGCGGAGAGGAGGGCGGCAAAGUGCGGGUUCAAAGCGGAGAGGAUAAGUACGGCGAGGUUUCGGGCUUCCACUAGCCCAUUGGGCUCCCCAUCGGUCCCGUCGCCUUACCUUACUAUUCCUCCUGGGAUUAGCCCCACUGCUUUGUUGGAUUCUCCUAUUAUGUUGCCCAACGCUCAGGCAUCUCCCACUACUGGAACAUUUCUGGUACCGCUUCUCAAUCAGGAUGGUCAAGUGCUGAAUAUUAGCAAUGGGGACGGAGGCAGCAACAUAGGUCCUUCCUUUACAUUUAAGCCACAGAAUAUGGAUUCUCAGCCAAGCUUUUCUAGUGUAGACGAUCAGGUUUCUUCCUCUUUCAAUCUCGUUCAGAGUACUGAGGGUGAUUAUCAACCUCUUGUCCAUUUGUAUACAACUUUGGAUUUUGAAUUUGCUGCAGAGUUUUCCAAACAAGAUGCUUUAACGAGUUUUGCUACAGAUUCAGUCACCAACGUCAAAGUUUUAAAUAACAUUGUGAAUGAUAAUGCUAAUUUGGGAUUCCAUCCUUCUGAGUUGGCUGGUGAUCAAACAUCCAUGCAGAAAGAGCCUCUUCAUGGACAAGAUGUCAGCACAAAUCUUUCAGAAGCUGAUCAGAAGGGGACAAACACUGCAAUGGGAACAGCAAGAACAUCAGAAGAUGGAUAUAAAUGGAGGAAGUAUGGACAGAAACAGGUAAAGGGUAGUGAAUAUCCAAGAAGCUACUAUAAAUGUACCCAUCCAAAUUGCCAGGUGAAGAAGAAGGUAGAGCGUUCACUUGAUGGCCAAAUUACUGAAAUCAUCUACAAGGGUGCACACAAUCACCCAAAGCCUCAGCCUUGUCUUCGCCAAUCACUUGGGUCCACUUUAUCAUCUGAUGAAAUGUCAGAGACUGCAGAAGGCAGUGGAACUUGUGUCAAAGUUGAAGGUUGUUUAAUUUGGAAAAAUGCCCAAGCAGGUUCAAAGGAUAUUAAGCUUGGAUCUGAUUGGAGAGCCGAUGGUCUAGAAAGAACAUCCUCAACAUCUGUUGUAACUGAUCUUUCUGAUCCACUAUCAACUGCCCAAGGGAAAUCUAUUGGUGCAUUUGAAUCAGCUGAUACCCCAGAGUUUUCAUCAACGCUUGCCAGUCACGAUGAUGGGGCUACCCAGGGAAGUAUAUCACUCUGUGAUGAUGCAGCUAAUGAUGAUGAUGAGUCUGAGUCAAAAAGAAGGAAGACAGAGACAUGCUUGACUGAGAUGAAUGUGGCAUCUGGGGCUCUCCGUGAACCAAGAGUUGUUGUGCAAAUAGAAAGUGAUGUGGACAUACUCGAUGAUGGCUAUCGUUGGAGGAAGUAUGGACAGAAGGUUGUCAAAGGAAACCCUAAUCCUAGGAGCUACUACAAAUGCACAAGUCCUGGAUGUCCAGUGAGAAAGCAUGUGGAAAGAGCUUCCCAUAAUCUAAAAUGUGUACUCACGACAUACGAUGGAAAACACAAUCAUGAAGUUCCAGCAGCCAGAAGCAGCAGUCAUGUUAACUCAAGUGGUUGUAAUUUACCCCCAAUCGUGCCUAAUACUCAAGCUGCUCUGGCAUUAUCCAGAAAUACCCAUGCUCUAAAGCCUGAAACUCCAAUCCAAGAUAUUGCACCUCCUUUUGAUCAAAAGCCUGAAUUUAAAAAUGAAUAUAUGAGAUUUGGUUUUCUUGGGGAUUUCAGCAAUGAGAUGAAGCUUGGGGCAGCUUCUCUAGCUUCUGUUUACCAAAUGAAGUUUCCUUCCUUCCAGAAAGCUAUUCCUUUUAGCUCUUUUGGACUGAACCCAAAUGACAUUGCAACUCAUUCAUCUGGCUUAAUUGCCUCAACAGUUCCAAAUUUUCCAAUUUCAGUGCCGUUGAAUCUCCCAACAUUUGCAAAUCUACCAUUGGCUGGUUUUGGUAUUAAUAAUAGUGGAAAGUCAACUGGUCCAAUUCACUCUUUCCUUCCAGGGCAACAGUUAAAAGAGAAUGGUACAAGGUUUCAUGGCAUUAAACAGGAGCUAAAGAAUGAUAACCACUAUGUUGCUUGCCUUCCCAUUGUUGAACAUACAAGUGCAUCAUCAUCAUCAUCAUCAUCAUCAUCAUCAUCAUCAGUCUAUCAGCAGGCCAGUGGAAAUUUUCCAUCCUAGAUCGCAUUUUGCUUCUUACCAGAGUCUGUAAGAUGUUGGCUUCUACUUGAGUUUCUCCAGAAUUAAAAGUUUUAAAUAUCUUACUGUAGCUUACUUUAGACCAGGAUCAAGCAGCGUGCGAAGUCUCCGGGUAUAUUAGGGCUAAUUACACCUUGCUUAAAGGACUGCUUGCCGGAUUUGCAAUUUGCAUAUUUAUCUAUGCAUUUUCUGUCCAUUUUUUAGCGGGUAUGGGAUUGGCUAUCUAUUUUGCAUACUUUCAUUUUUUGGCCGAAGAAAACAAUGGCAGGGCCAAGCAAGAAGCUGGUAAAUGAGAGCUAGCUACAGGGACUCUUGUGGCAAGCAAAGAAGGUGAUGGCAGUGUAGCUUGACCGGUUUUUUUUUUUUUCUCCCUUCAUUUUGGCAAUUGGACUUGAUUACAUUACAAUAAAAGAUGGAAUGGCUUAGUUGAAUGAAAUAAAAGUAUUUAGAUGAAGUGCACGUUUGG